GAUGAACGCUGACAGAAUGCUUAACACAUGCAAGUCUUUGGCGAAGCUGUGCUUGCACAGCCUAGCCAAGGCGGACGGGUGAGUAACGCGUAAGGAACUUGCCCUGCAGUCAGGGAUAACAGACGGAAACGACUGAUAAGACCUGGUAAAGUCAGGCGGACUCAUGUCCAGCCUGAUGAAAAGAGAUGCUGCAGGAGAGCCUUGCGUCCUAUUAGCUUGUUGGUGGGGUAACGGCCCACCAAGGCGAUGAUAGGUAGCCGGCCUGAGAGGGUGGACGGCCACAAGGGGACUGAGAUACGGCCCUUACUCCUACGGGAGGCAGCAGUGGGGAAUAUUGGACAAUGGGGGCAACCCUGAUCCAGCAAUUCUGUGUGCACGAUGAAGGUUUUCGGAGUGUAAAGUGCUUUCAGCAGGGAAGAAAAAAAUGACGGUACCUGCAGAAGAAGCGACGGCUAAAUACGUG
RNAcentral lists this ribosomal RNA (463 nucleotides) under uncultured bacterium. RNAcentral's name for it is "partial 16S ribosomal RNA". It matches the Rfam family "Bacterial small subunit ribosomal RNA", at positions 28 to 507 of the family's 1533-position model. The record is from RNAcentral.